CCCUAGUAACGGCGAGUGAAGCGGCAACAGCUCAAAUUUGAAAUCUGGCGCAAGCCCGAGUUGUAAUUUGUAGAGGAUGCUUCUAGGUAGCGACCGGUCUAAGUUCCUUGGAACAGGACGUCAUAGAGGGUGAGAAUCCCGUAUGUGACCGGCCCGCACCUUCUACGUAGCUCCUUCGACGAGUCGAGUUGUUUGGGAAUGCAGCUCUAAAUGGGAGGUAAAUUUCUUCUAAAGCUAAAUACCGGCCAGAGACCGAUAGCGCACAAGUAGAGUGAUCGAAAGAUGAAAAGCACUUUGGAAAGAGAGUUAAAAAGCACGUGAAAUUGUUGAAAGGGAAGCGCUCACAACCAGACUUCUGGGCGGUGUUCCGCCGGUCUUCUGACCGGUCUACUCACCGUCCCGAGGCCAACAUCAUCUGGGACCGCUGGAUAAGACCUUAGGAAUGUAGCUCCCCCUCGGGGGAGUGUUAUAGCCUGUGGUGAUGCAGCGCGUCUCGGGUGAGGUCCGCGCUUCGGCAAGGAUGUUGGCGUAAUGGUUGUCAGCGGCCCGUCUUGAAACACGGACCAAGGAGUCUAACAUCUAUGCGAGUGUUCGGGUGUCAAACCCCUACGCGUAAUGAAAGUGAACGGAGGUGGGAAGCGUAAGCUGCACCAUCGACCGAUCCUGAUGUCCUCGGAUGGAUUUGAGUAAGAGCAUAGCUGUUGGGACCCGAAAGAUGGUGAACUAUGCCUGAAUAGGGUGAAGCCAGAGGAAACUCUGGUGGAGGCUCGCAGCGGUUCUGACGUGCAAAUCGAUCGUCAAAUUUGGGUAUAGGGGCGAAAGACUAAUCGAACCAU
RNAcentral lists this ribosomal RNA (836 nucleotides) under Ramularia hydrangeae-macrophyllae. RNAcentral describes it as "eukaryotic LSU rRNA". It matches the Rfam family "Eukaryotic large subunit ribosomal RNA", at positions 78 to 943 of the family's 3401-position model. Lineage: Eukaryota; Fungi; Ascomycota; Dothideomycetes; Mycosphaerellales; Mycosphaerellaceae. The record is from RNAcentral.